This is a long non-coding RNA of Raphanus sativus (radish), 1630 nucleotides long. RefSeq lists it as uncharacterized. The transcript is spliced from 4 exons. Lineage: Eukaryota; Viridiplantae; Streptophyta; Magnoliopsida; Brassicales; Brassicaceae. The record is from RefSeq and is a predicted model, not a curated record.
CAUAAGCAUAUCCAAUCAGGAUUCAUAACUUCCUCCUGAAGUUUAGUUAGCAAAAUGAUUUGGCAUCACUUCAUCUUGUGAAAUUAUGAAAUGAUACCAUAUCUUGCUGAACAUAUAAACCAAAACUACGAUAACAUCUUUUACUCAUAUAUAUGAGUUCUAGGCGGUUCAACAAAUUGAAUUUAUAUUCAUGCUCAUAUAUAAAUAUAUAAUCCUAAAGUUUAAGGUUGUGUACGAAUAUCGAAAAAAUAAUAUAAAUACAUAUUGCUGCUUAAAGUGUUUUUGCACCAUGUUUGAUGUGUUAUCAUCCCGAGUGGCUAAGUUGUAACAUCCAGGAUUCAAAGUAUAAUCUACUUUGUGUUCGAGCGAAGAAAUAAUAUCCUACUUGUAAAUAAUUAUGCACUUUUCUGUACUAAAAAGGUCUAUUUCGCAAGGGAAAAAAAACAAGACGCCGUCUGUGGGGAUCGAACCCACGGCCACGGGAUUAAAAGUCACGCGCUCUACCACUGAGCUAAGACGGCUCUGUGUAUCUAUGGUUGUCGUUAUUAAUAAACAACUUGAUUCUGUUUCUUUAAUGAAAUUCAAGAGAAGGCUUCUUUUUGGUCGGUGGCGUGGUGGGAAAGAAAGAGGAGGAAGACGACGAUGGGAGAGGGUUUAGGGUUUUACAAGGAAUACGUCGCCGGAAAGAUGGCUUUGUCUCGCCACAGUCGCCGUCGGCCACCCUUUCGAUACCAUCAAGGUAAAACUUCAGAAACAUAACACAGAUGUGCAAGGGCUCAGAUACAAAAACGGUCUGCAUUGUGCUUCAAGAAUCCUGAAUCUGAAGGAGUCAAAGGACUCUAUAGAGGAGCAGCAACAUUAGUAGUUUUUUGGAAUGGCCUUUGAAAGUUCAUUGAUGUUCGGAAUAUACUCCCAGGCUAAGCUCUUCCUGCGGGUAUAAAUCGCAGACCAGCUGAUCUUUUCACUGAAUUCUUUUAUUUUCUUUUUGCAUCUUCCAGAUUUUAUUUUUUGCAUUGUUUUAUUAAGGUAACUUGACGAGAUGAUGGGCCACGGACUAGAAACCAUUGUCCCAUCUGCUAUGUUUGGUGGAGCUGUUAUUAGCUUUGUAUCAUGUCCAACAGAGCUAGUUAAUGUGAAACCUCUGUUUUUGUAACAUGUUUUAGUUAAUAUCUUUGAUGGUUUCCUUGGGAGUUUUAGGACAUUUGUUUUCUACAGUGUAGAAUGCAGAUCCAAGGCACAUAUUCUUUACCUCCCCACUUUCUGUAGAUACAACAGUCCUCUUUGAUUGUCAUUGCUAAGAGGGCUAUACAUCGAAUCAAGCAUUUAGGUUUGAUGGGGAUGUCUUUCAGGUAACAGGUAUAUUUCGCGGUGGUUCAGCAGCAUUGUUAGCGGAAUAUAGUGUGCUGAAAAUCCACUCGAGAUUAGAGUGUUCUAAGCUGAUUACAUGGUUACUUUGGUUGACAUGGGGAUAGUAGUUCUCACCGGUGGUCUUGGAGGCAUAGCUAUUCACAAGAGGGCUGGACUUAAGGGAUGCUAUGCAGGUUUGCGUCUAACCAUAUUGAGAGCAUUCCCUCCUGCUAAUGCAGCAUCAAUCGUUGCUUGGGAGUUCUUAUUGGGAAUCAAACCUGAC